This is an unclassified non-coding RNA of Otolemur garnettii (small-eared galago), 302 nucleotides long. It matches the Rfam family "Metazoan signal recognition particle RNA". Rfam says of the family: The signal recognition particle (SRP) is a universally conserved ribonucleoprotein. It is involved in the co-translational targeting of proteins to membranes. The eukaryotic SRP consists of a 300-nucleotide 7S RNA and six proteins: SRPs 72, 68, 54, 19, 14, and 9. The record is from Ensembl. NCBI's taxonomy places the organism in Eukaryota, Metazoa, Chordata, Mammalia, Primates, Galagidae.
GUUCGGUAUGAUGGCAUGUACUUGUAGUUCUAGCUAUCUGUAAUUCAGGAGGCUGAGGAUGGAGCAUUGCUUGAGUCUAGGAGUUGUGAACUGUAGUGCAACAUUCUAAGUGGGUGUCUACACAAAAUUCAGCAUCAAUAUGAUGACCUACCAGGAAGAUGAGGACCACCAAGUUGUCUAAGGAGAGGUGAGCCAGCCUAGGUCAGAAACAAAACAGGUGAAAUUCUUGUGCUGAUCAGUAGUGGAAUCAUAACUAUGCAUAGCCACUGCACUCUAGCCUGAGCAUCGAGUAAGACUUUGUG